AACGAACGCUGGCGGCAGGCCUAACACAUGCAAGUCGAGCGAGGACUUCGGUCCUAGCGGCGGACGGGUGAGUAACGCGUGGGAACGUGCCCUUUGCUUCGGAAUAGCCCUGGGAAACUGGGAGUAAUACCGGAUGAGCCCCUUGGGGGAAAGAUUUAUCGGCGAAGGAUCGGCCCGCGUUGGAUUAGGUAGUUGGUGGGGUAAUGGCCUACCACGCCGACGAUCCAUAGCUGGUUUGAGAGGAUGAUCAGCCACACUGGGACUGAGACACGGCCCAGACUCCUACGGGAGGCAGCAGUGGGGAAUCUUAGACAAUGGGGGAAACCCUGAUCUAGCCAUGCCGCGUGAGCGAUGAAGGCCUUAGGGUUGUAAAGCUCUUUAAGCUGGGAAGAUAAUGACGGUACCAGCAGAAGAAGCCCCGGCUAACUCCGUG
Molecule: ribosomal RNA, 433 nt
Filed under: uncultured bacterium
Lineage: Bacteria
Description: partial 16S ribosomal RNA
Rfam family: Bacterial small subunit ribosomal RNA
Source: RNAcentral